GAUGAAGAACGCAGCGAAAUGCGAUAAGUAAUGCGAAUUGCAGAAUUCAGUGAAUCAUCGAAUCUUUGAACGCACAUUGCGCCCGCUAGUAUUCUGGCGGGCAUGCCUGUCUGAGCGUCAUUUCAACCCUCGCCCCCGGCUUUUGCUGGGAGCGGUGUUGGGGAUCGGCCGCCCGUCACUGGGAGGCCGGCCCCGAAAUAGAGUGGCGACCACGCCGUGUGCUCCUCUGCGUAGUAGUAAAUCACCUCGCAGGCGGACAGCGGUGCGGCCUGCCGUAAAACCCCCAACUCUUUAUGGUUGACCUCAGAUCAGGUAGGAAUACCCGCUGAACUUAAGCAUAUCAUAAGCGGAGGA
RNAcentral lists this unclassified non-coding RNA (354 nucleotides) under soil metagenome. Its description in RNAcentral is "partial contains 5.8S ribosomal RNA, internal transcribed spacer 2, and large subunit ribosomal RNA". The stretch from base 1 to 120 matches the Rfam family "5.8S ribosomal RNA", at positions 35 to 154 of the family's 154-position model. The record is from RNAcentral.